RNAcentral lists this ribosomal RNA (254 nucleotides) under uncultured bacterium. RNAcentral describes it as "partial 16S ribosomal RNA". It matches the Rfam family "Bacterial small subunit ribosomal RNA", at positions 524 to 776 of the family's 1533-position model. The record is from RNAcentral.
UACGGGGGGAGCAAGCGUUGUUCGGAUUUACUGGGCGUAAAGGGCGCGUAGGCGGCCAGCACAAGUCAGUUGUGAAAUCUCCGGGCUUAACUCGGAAAGGUCAACUGAUACUGUGCGGCUAGAGUGCAGAAGGGGCAACUGGAAUUCUCGGUGUAGCGGUGAAAUGCGUAGAUAUCAGGAAGAACACCCGUGGCGAAGGCGGCUCUCUGGGACGGUACUGACGCUGAGGUACGAAGGCAUGGGUAUCGAUCGGG